Molecule: small RNA, 193 nt
Filed under: Sphenodon punctatus (tuatara)
Lineage: Eukaryota; Metazoa; Chordata; Lepidosauria; Sphenodontia; Sphenodontidae
Description: TUC338 (ENSSPUG00000009256.1)
Source: RNAcentral
GUGAAAGUGUCACUUACUGAAGCCCUGUAUUUAUCCACAGAAUGGGUACAGCAUGAGCAAGUACAAUGGCAGCUCCCAUCAGACUGCCUCCUCCCCCAUUCUGCAUGUCUUACACCCAGACCCAGAAUGACUCCACUGCAUUAGCAGAGAAAGGUGCAUUCAGUCUUUGUGCCAUAUUCAGUCCUUGGCCUUG